CAGCAGCCACGGUAAAACGUAGGUGGCAAGCGUUGUCCGGAAUUAUUGGGCGUAAAGGGCUCGCAGGCGGUUUCUUAAGUCUGAUGUGAAAGCCCCCGGCUCAACCGGGGAGGGCCAUUGGAAACUGGGAAACUUGAGUGCAGAAGAGGAGAGUGGAAUUCCACGUGUAGCGGUGAAAUGCGUAGAGAUGUGGAGGAACACCAGUGGCGAAGGCGACUCUCUGGUCUGUAACUGACGCUGAGGAGCGAAAGCGUGGGGAGCGAACAGGAUUAGAUACCCGUGUAGUCCCUGUCUCUUAUAC
Molecule: ribosomal RNA, 301 nt
Filed under: uncultured bacterium
Lineage: Bacteria
Description: partial 16S ribosomal RNA
Rfam family: Bacterial small subunit ribosomal RNA
Source: RNAcentral